ACAACCAGAUUGCAAUCAACACUGUUGCACAAUGAACUUCUCUGCACACAUCCUGGAAGAACCAGAAUCCUAGGAGCAUGGAAGACUUAAUUCAUUCAACAGUAACCACCUCUUUUUAGCCUAAGACUUUGGCAGCCGAACAACAGAACAGGAAUUAUGUCAGCUUUUCUGCUUAGCAUGAGCUCUGCCCCAGAACCAAUGACAUAAAAUACGUAUGUUUGCUUUCCCUGCCACAAAGUUGCGACACAUUAUCAAAGCUUUACAAAGUCACUCUAUCUUAGGACACCCCUAGACAACUUGUUUCCAUCUUACUUCUGGGACAAAAAUAUUUACUGUAUCCUGCUUUCAUUGUCUUUGUGAAUAUUACAUUAAAUGUUGACAUGUGCUUGGCAAUUCAAAUUCAUUGGUUAAAU
This 413-nucleotide long non-coding RNA is filed under the name Homo sapiens (human). Its description in RNAcentral is "non-protein coding lnc-GOT2-1:3". Lineage: Eukaryota; Metazoa; Chordata; Mammalia; Primates; Hominidae. The record is from RNAcentral.